RNAcentral lists this unclassified non-coding RNA (328 nucleotides) under soil metagenome. RNAcentral's name for it is "partial contains 5.8S ribosomal RNA, internal transcribed spacer 2, and large subunit ribosomal RNA". The stretch from base 2 to 119 matches the Rfam family "5.8S ribosomal RNA", at positions 37 to 154 of the family's 154-position model. The record is from RNAcentral.
GUGAAGAACGUAGCGAAAUGCGAUAAGUAAUGUGAAUUGCAGAAUUCAGUGAAUCAUCGAAUCUUUGAACGCACAUUGCGCCCCCUGGUAUUCCGGGGGGCAUGCCUGUCCGAGCGUCAUUACAACCCUCAAGCUCAGCUUGGUGUUGGGCCCCGCCGCCCCGGCGGGCCCUAAAGUCAGUGGCGGUGCCGUCCGGCUCCGAGCGUAGUAAUUCUUCUCGCUCUGGAGGCCCGGUCGUGUGCUCGCCAGCAACCCCCAAUUUUUUUCAGGUUGACCUCGGAUCAGGUAGGGAUACCCGCUGAACUUAAGCAUAUCAAUAAGCGGAGGA